CCAGGACGCCAGUUUUGGCGGAGCCAUCCUUGGGAUACCACCCUUGUAGUACUGGGACUCUAACCAUAGGCCAUGAAUCUGGUCUUGGGACACUGUCAGGGGGGCAGUUUGACUGGGGCGGUCGCCUCCCAAAAGGUAACGGAGGCGCUCAAAGGUUCUCUCAGUACGGUCGGAAAUCGGACGUAGAGUGUAAAGGCAAAA
Molecule: ribosomal RNA, 201 nt
Filed under: Clostridioides difficile
Lineage: Bacteria; Bacillati; Bacillota; Clostridia; Peptostreptococcales; Peptostreptococcaceae
Description: partial 23S ribosomal RNA
Rfam family: Bacterial large subunit ribosomal RNA
Source: RNAcentral